AGAGGGAUAGCUGGGUCAAAUGGUGGUUCCAUUCCCAGAUUUCCAAGGAAUCUCUAAACUGCUUUCCAUAUUGGCUGUACCGAUUUGCAGUCCUACCAGCAAU
RNAcentral lists this microRNA precursor (103 nucleotides) under Marmota monax (woodchuck). The record is from RNAcentral. Lineage: Eukaryota; Metazoa; Chordata; Mammalia; Rodentia; Sciuridae.